This 781-nucleotide ribosomal RNA is filed under the name uncultured bacterium. RNAcentral describes it as "bacterial SSU rRNA". It matches the Rfam family "Bacterial small subunit ribosomal RNA", at positions 708 to 1504 of the family's 1533-position model. The record is from RNAcentral.
ACUGCGAAGGCAGCUUUCUGGAUCAUUACUGACACUGAGGAACGAAAGCAUGGGUAGCGAAGAGGAUUAGAUACCCUCGUAGUCCAUGCCGUAAACGAUGUGUGUUAGACGUUGGAAAUUUAUUUUCAGUGUCGCAGGGAAACCGAUAAACACACCGCCUGGGGAGUACGACCGCAAGGUUAAAACUCAAAUGAAUUGACGGGGACCCGCACAAGUAGUGGAGCAUGUGGUUUAAUUCGAAGAUACGCGCAGAACCUUACCAACACUUGACAUGUUCGUCGCGACUCUAAGAGAUUAGAGUUUUCGGUUCGGCCGGACGAAACACAGGUGCUGCAUGGCUGUCGUCAGCUCGUGUCGUGAGAUGUUGGGUUAAGUCCCGCAACGAGCGCAACCCUCACUUUUAGUUGCCAUCAUUAAGUUGGGCACUCUGAAAGAACUGCCAGUGAUAAGCUGGAGGAAGGUGGGGAUGACGUCAAGUCCUCAUGGCCCUUACGUGUUGGGCUACACACGUGCUACAAUGGCAUCUACAACAGGAAGCAAAACGGCAACGUUAAGCAAAUCCCGAAAAGAUGCCUCAGUUCGGAUUGCACUCUGCAACUCGAGUGCAUGAAGCUGGAAUUACUAGUAAUCGUGGAUCAGCGUGCCACGGUGAAUGCGUUCCCGGGUCUUGUACACACCGCCCGUCACACCAUGGGAGUUGGUUCUACCUUAAGGCAAGGUUUUAAACCCUUGACCACGGUAUAGUCAGCGACUGGGGUGAAGUCGUAACAAGGUAGCCGUA